This 210-nucleotide long non-coding RNA is filed under the name Mytilus galloprovincialis (Mediterranean mussel). Lineage: Eukaryota; Metazoa; Mollusca; Bivalvia; Mytilida; Mytilidae. The record is from RNAcentral.
AAAGUUAAAUUUAAUCUUCUAUUGGAAUGCCUACAUGGUGUCUUGUCCCCAAUUUUGUGUUUUUGGUACAUUGAAAAAAAAUGCAAUAAACUUCUUUUUGUUAAUAGUUUAUGAUAAACUGUUUAUUGUGAACUAAUAGAAUGACAAGAACAUCAUGAUGACAUAAAUAAACGUCACCAUUUUCAUGCAAAAUGCGUGAUUUACCCGCGA